GGGUUUAGAACGUCGUGAGACAGUUCGGUCCCUAUCUUCCGUGGGUGUAGGAUACUUGAGAGGAGUUGCCCCUAGUACGAGAGGACCGGGGUGAACGAUCCACUGGUGGACCAGUUGUCAUGCCAAUGGCAGUGCUGGGUAGCUAUGAUCGGACAGGAUAACCGCUGAAGGCAUCUAAGCGGGAAGCCCCCCUCAAAACAAGGUAUCCCUGAGGACCGUGGUAGACCACCACGUCGAUAGGCCGGAGAUGUAAGCGCUGCAAAGCGUUCAGUUGACCGGUACUAAUUGUCCGAUAGGCUUGAU
This 303-nucleotide ribosomal RNA is filed under the name Jannaschia seosinensis. RNAcentral's name for it is "bacterial LSU rRNA". It matches the Rfam family "Bacterial large subunit ribosomal RNA", at positions 2607 to 2925 of the family's 2925-position model. The record is from RNAcentral. Lineage: Bacteria; Pseudomonadati; Pseudomonadota; Alphaproteobacteria; Rhodobacterales; Roseobacteraceae.